AGGUGUAUACUAAUGUAGUUUCCAAUUGGAACACGGUCCAGUAGGGCAGGUUUGUGGAGUGAAGGAGAGACCAACUGAUCUUCAAGUACAUUUGGCCAUCCUUGGUUAGCUGCAACAGGCCAAGCAAGCAGUCUGGGGACAUUUCAAAAGAGGAAGGGGUGGAGGGUGUGUGGCCAGCCAUUUCCUGGAACAAGUAGGGGCUGGUGGAAUUCUUUUUUGCAGUCAAACUGUCAUCCUGGUUACUGGGGAGCAGAGGAGCUGUGUGGCUGCCAUGGCCGCAUACAAACAGUGAAGUUUCUCAUUUGAUCACCGAAUUUUAAAUCAGUACAAUUUUGUUAGAGUUGGAAGUUAUCUUACAAGUUCACUCAGUCACUCUGACCUACUAUGCACUCCCCAAAUUCCACCCCAAAUCCACUCAACAAUUGGAAAAACUCAUUAACAGGGUAGAUCAGUGUCUAACCCAUAGCAAAGUUCAGAAGCAGACUUAGUUCUCCUGAAUCUCAGGACUGUAAAUAUAACCACCAUGUUUCUCAAAAAUUAAACAAAAAGGAAGGAAAAGGAAAAGAAAGUCAGUGUCAACAUGAACCAGUUCCAGCUGGGCCUGUGGUGCUCCUGUUUCUUUAUUAUUUUUAAUAUACAUUUUUAAUUUGGCUGCAUUGGGUCUUCGUGGCAGCACGUGGAUCUGAGGAGCACUGGGCUCUCUAGUUGUGGUGGUUGGGCUUCAGAGUGCUGGGCUCAGUUGCUCUGAGGCAUGUGGCUCCCCAACCAGGGAUUCAACCUGUGUCCCCUGCACUGCAAGGUGGAUUCGUAACCACUGGAUCACCAGGCAAGACCCAACUCUUGCUUCUUUAGUGAGAGAUCCAGGAUGCUGUUCUGGGGCUCAGAGGGAGCCAGCACUGGGGGAAGGGUGAUACGUCUCUGGUUCAGUCCGGUCAAUUCUCCACAGAUCUACUUACAACCAAGGAACAUAAGAGCAAAGAGGGUGAGCGGGAGGGUGUCUGGAAAAAGAAAGUGCUCACGUUUUAAGGAGACCAUGGAAGUGAUGGCCCAUAUUCUGCCGUGCGACAUGGGUAGGGUUUGUUUUUGGUGUGUGGGAAGCUUAUACAACUUGGCAACACCAACUGAAUGUCAUAUAAUAAUCUCUUUGGAGCCUACAGCCCUCCUUCCACUAUUUUAUCCUAUAGAAUCAAGGUAUUUAGGGAAGAAAAAAAUUACAUGUUUAAAGACAUAUUGACUUUUUAAUAAAUGCAAAACAUUGGAAACACCUGAAGUACCGUACCACAGCAGGAUGCCAGCAAACGUGGUGGAAGCCUUCCAAGUCGCUUUCCUCCCUCCCGUUACUGCGUGUUCCACCUGCCCAUCCACCCCCAUCCCUUUCUCGGUUGUCUCCACCGUCCAUUCUCUUUAAGCCACUUCACAAUGAUUGACCUUGAGGGAAACUGACAGUGAAGAUGACUCUUGUGCAGAGAAAUGCAGAUUGCAUCCAGUGGAAUUUAACUGAUGGUGAAUUAGUUCUGUGGAUACUGGCCAAUUCUGUUGGUUUUGUAUCUAUUAAAGAAAUUCAUUUCAGGAUUCCUACUUGGCUUAUUACUAAAACAUCUUACUGGGUCUCCAAUUAAUUAACAACUACAACCUUUAACAUGUUCAUUUUGUACUUGAGUCACGAUUGUACUUUCCAAUACAGUUUAUCCUUUAACAAAAUGGUUAAGGGAAAUUCCCUGGCAGACCCGUGAUUAGAACUCAGCAAUUUCACUGCCAGGGCCCAGGUUUGAUCCCUGGUCAAUCGGGAAACUAAGAUCUCACAAGCUGUGUGGCGUGGCCAAAAAACAAAAAACAAAAA
Molecule: long non-coding RNA, 1840 nt
Organism: Bos taurus (domestic cattle)
Lineage: Eukaryota; Metazoa; Chordata; Mammalia; Artiodactyla; Bovidae
Source: Ensembl